RNAcentral lists this ribosomal RNA (697 nucleotides) under Candidatus Doudnabacteria bacterium RIFCSPHIGHO2_12_FULL_47_25. RNAcentral describes it as "bacterial SSU rRNA". It matches the Rfam family "Bacterial small subunit ribosomal RNA", at positions 8 to 731 of the family's 1533-position model. Lineage: Bacteria; Candidatus Doudnaibacteriota. The record is from RNAcentral.
AGAGUUUGAUCCUGGCUCAGGAUGAACGCUGGCGGCGUGCCUUAUACAUGCAAGUCGAGGGGGUUAGACCCCCGGCGAACGGGUGAGUAAUACAUAGGUACUUUGCCUUGGCGGAGGAUAACCAGCCGAAAGGUUGGACAAUACUCCAUGUGAUCGCAAGAUCAAAGCUUGUCCCAGCACAAAAGCGGGGAUCGGCACCAAGGAAUAGGCCUGUGUCCUAUCAGCUAGUUGGUGAGGUAACGGCCCACCAAGGCUAUGACGGGUAGCUGGUCUGAGAGGAUGAUCAGCCACAAUGGGACUGCGACACGGCCCAUACUCCUACGGGAGGCAGCAGUAGGGAAUUUUGGACAAUGGGGGAAACCCUGAUCCAGCGACGCCGCGUGCGGGAUGAAGGCCUUCGGGUUGUAAACCGCUUUUGUAGGGGAAGAAUUUCUGACUGUACCCUGCGAAUAAGAGGUUGCUUACUCUGUGCCAGCAGCAGCGGUAAUACAGAGACCUCAAGCGUUAUCCGGAAUCAUUGGGCGUAAAGCGUACCGAUAGGUGGUUUUGUUAGUGUCUGGUUAAAUUUAGGGGCUCAACUCCUAAACCGCUAGGCAUACUGCAAGACUAGAGGAACAAAGAGGAAGCUGGAACGAACGGUGUAGCAGUGAAAUGCGUUGAUAUCGUUCGGAACACCGAUAGCGAAGGCAGGCUUCUG